GAUCUCUGUAUGCUUUUCAGUUGCUCUGUAGAGUAUAGCAGGCUAGUCAACCUUGUGGGCUGGUCAGAGGCAUCUGCAACAGUUGUGACAGCUGCGGAAAAAAAUGGAUGCAAAUUCUACAGCCUCAGAAGAAAUGAGUGAAAUUUUCCAUGCUUGGUUUAUUAGAGCUAUUUCUGAAGUAAGACUUUUAGGACUUAUAAAACCUACCAAAUAGAAGACUGACCAUUUGGCAAGGCUAACAUGGGGCGGCUGCUAG
RNAcentral lists this long non-coding RNA (256 nucleotides) under Homo sapiens (human). RNAcentral describes it as "non-protein coding lnc-GPT2-5:1". The record is from RNAcentral. Lineage: Eukaryota; Metazoa; Chordata; Mammalia; Primates; Hominidae.